Molecule: microRNA precursor, 124 nt
Filed under: Citrus sinensis (sweet orange)
Lineage: Eukaryota; Viridiplantae; Streptophyta; Magnoliopsida; Sapindales; Rutaceae
Description: miR3949 stem-loop (csi-MIR3949)
Source: miRBase by way of RNAcentral
UGUUAUGGCCAUGCCCUGCCAAGUUUGCAUCACUUCAAGGCUUCUUGGGGCAACGUUUCUGGUUAAAAAGUUUCAGAAAAAUGAACAAGUUUUGAUGUUGAGGCAAAAAUGUAGGAGCUAUAAU